AUGGAAUUCAUGCAUUUGCCCUUGAUAGUCUUGCCUUGGUCCAGGAUGUUCUCAAUACUCAUGAGCCCUUACAUCUCUUUCAUAUUCCCCUUUCCAGGCAGGCUUUCGAUGAAUUUCAUGAAUUCAGAGAGUUUCUGUCCAACAUACAUUCAUGCUCAGUUUCCUGAAGAUAAUGACUCUUGGUCCUUCUCUUGGGGUGCUAGGCUGCUAGCUUCUCAUCCUCUAAAAUGUACAGAGCUCAGUUUCAACACAUUCAUGCACCUAAUAACUCCUUUUGGCUCUGGAAUUCCAAAUGCACCCUUAAGCCCAAAUGCUUUGCCUGGUUUUUCUGAAUGA
RNAcentral lists this ribosomal RNA (336 nucleotides) under Triticum aestivum (bread wheat). RNAcentral's name for it is "partial small subunit ribosomal RNA". Lineage: Eukaryota; Viridiplantae; Streptophyta; Magnoliopsida; Poales; Poaceae. The record is from RNAcentral.